UACGUAGGGCGCAAGCGUUGUCCGGAAUUAUUGGGCGUAAAGAGCUCGUAGGCGGUCUGUCGCGUCCGUUGUGAAAACUCGAGGCUCAACCUCGGGCUUGCAGUGGAUACGGGCAGACUAGAGUGCGGUAGGGGAGACUGGAAUUCCUGGUGUAGCGGUGGAAUGCGCAGAUAUCAGGAGGAACACCGGGGGCGAAGGCGGAUCUCUGGGCCUUACCGGACGCUGAGGUGCGAAAGCGUGGGGAGCGAACAGG
Molecule: ribosomal RNA, 253 nt
Filed under: uncultured bacterium
Lineage: Bacteria
Description: partial 16S ribosomal RNA
Rfam family: Bacterial small subunit ribosomal RNA
Source: RNAcentral